CUGAACCACCAAGUGAAAGGAACUUAUGGGUUCAAUUUUAUGUGAGAUACAUAUUCUUACUAGUUAUUUGGAUCAAGUACUUAACACAAGGAAUUUGCUGGCAAUAUAAAACACAUUAGUCUGAGAAAAAAGUUCCAUACACUACUUGUAUCUCUAACUAUGAGACUCUGCUUAAUUGGAUCUUGUGUUCUUACUUGAAAGUAAGAAGUAGCACUAGAUAACUUGGUAAAAAACUUCUUUCAGUCUUGUAGCUCAGCAAAAAUAUUUGACAAGCUUUUGAUAAAACUAGAGAUACUUAAUUUUCAUCUAGACCUUUGGGAACAAGAUGAUCCAUCUAGAAAUUAAUCCAUUCAUUUACAUAUUGUUUUGAGUUCUUAUUUUUCCCCUCAUUUUUUUAAAUUUUCCUUUUUUAUUCUGCAGAUUAUUCUGAUGCCUAACCAACAUUGAGAACCUCUUCCAUAAGUAUCUUCUAACUCCUAAAUGGAUUAGUGCCCAACUGGGCAUUUGUGUCCAUCAGAGUCUCCUAGCCACAUGGUUCAUCUCAAGAAAAUAAGUGCUAAACUUAGGAAGAACCUAGAGCAACUACCUAAGGACUGCUGGGACAAUGAGAUGCUAAUGUGUUAUUGGAUCAAAUAGUGAAAGCAUCUUGAUGCUGUAAAAGCUGUACAAAUAUUAUUUCAAAUAAUCGACUACUUAUUUCAGGGCCAAAGACUCCAGAGGCUACCCUUCCCUCUGAGCCUUAUACUUGUCCCCCAAAAUAGUAUACAGGAGAGAAAAUGUGGCAAGAAAUCUGUUUCUCUGGAAAGUCAAGAGAAAUGAGUGAUCCAAGAUGAGAAAAGGGACAGGCAGCGAAAGACAAGGAAGCAACUGGAAAAAUAGCAUAUCUGAUGGUCUCCAAGAUAUAUGAAUCUUUAGAUGGCCAGUAAAAGAGCUCUGAUACGGAAAGAUUUCACUCUGGACUGCUUUCCUCUAAAAGAAUUCUGAGCUACUUUCUGGAAAAAUUAUGACUAACAGAUUAAUUCAGCAGCAAAUUGACUGCAGAUAUCUGAAGAGAAGAAGCUCUGGCUUUUGAAAGGUGAUUAAAGUUCAAGGUGAAGGGCAGGAGGUUUUUAAAAAAAUAAACUUAAUGACAGUUCCAGGUGUCACAUGCUGGAUAAGGGCCAGGCUUGGAAUGAGACUUCCUGUUUAAAAUGGUCUUGGGACUAGGACUGAAUCAUAACACUGGCUUCCCUGGUUCUCCAGCUUGCAAUGCAUAGUUGUGGGACUUCUCAACCUUCAA
Molecule: long non-coding RNA, 1279 nt
Organism: Manis pentadactyla (Chinese pangolin)
Lineage: Eukaryota; Metazoa; Chordata; Mammalia; Pholidota; Manidae
Exons: 8
Source: RefSeq, a predicted model, not a curated record